UACAGAGGGUGCGAGCGUUACUCGGAAUUACUGGGCGUAAAGCGUGCGUAGUCGGUUAUCUAAGUCGGGUGUGAAAUCCCCGGGCUCAACCUGGGAAUUGCAUUCGAUACUGGAUAGCUAGAGUUCGGCAGAGGGAAGCGGAAUUUCGGGUGUAGCGGUGAAAUGCGUAGAUAUCCGAGGGAACAUCAGUGGCGAAAGCGGCUUCCUGGACCAGAACUGACGAUCAGGCACGAAAGCGUGGGGAGCAAACAGG
RNAcentral lists this ribosomal RNA (253 nucleotides) under uncultured bacterium. RNAcentral's name for it is "partial 16S ribosomal RNA". It matches the Rfam family "Bacterial small subunit ribosomal RNA", at positions 524 to 776 of the family's 1533-position model. The record is from RNAcentral.